UACGGUCACAGAACGUUGAAACACCUGUUCCCGUACGAUCACCGACGUUAAGCAACGUCGUGCCUGUUUAGUACGUAGAUGGGUGACCGCUUGGGAAUACCAGGUGCU
Acanthosepion pharaonis is the source of this 108-nucleotide non-coding RNA. The record is from the annotation of a GenBank genome assembly. Lineage: Eukaryota; Metazoa; Mollusca; Cephalopoda; Sepiida; Sepiidae.